UUUUCUACAAAUCGAAAUAAUCUGAAAUUUAGAGCGUGUGUUCAUCAAAAAUAGGCAAAUCUACUUAAAAUAUCAAAAAAAUAUUUCACAUGAAGCAAAUUGACUAAAAUACUCCCGAAAAGUUUCAAGGGCAUUUUGGUCAAUGUUUUUUAGGAAUUAUUUUUUUUAUAUUUUUAUUAGGUGUGCCUCACUAAGAUGUACACACACUCCAAAUUUCAAAUUAUUCCGAUUGGUAGAAAA
This 240-nucleotide microRNA precursor is filed under the name Amborella trichopoda. Its description in RNAcentral is "MIR8562 microRNA precursor family". It matches the Rfam family "MIR8562 microRNA precursor family". The record is from Rfam by way of RNAcentral. Lineage: Eukaryota; Viridiplantae; Streptophyta; Magnoliopsida; Amborellales; Amborellaceae.